Bombus huntii is the source of this 10328-nucleotide long non-coding RNA. RefSeq lists it as uncharacterized. NCBI's taxonomy places the organism in Eukaryota, Metazoa, Arthropoda, Insecta, Hymenoptera, Apidae. The record is from RefSeq and is a predicted model, not a curated record. The transcript has 3 exons.
ACAGAGAGGAACGCGUGGAUGAAUGUAUAAUAGAAAUAUAUUUAAGGAAGUAUAAGUAUAUGCUGGCAGCGUUUACUUGUACUACUUAUUACUACUAGAAAAGGCUAUGAGGCUGAGAGGCCCUACAAAUUGAUUCGGAGUUAAACGAUACUCGACGGUUUCGAGAACUAAGGAAACUAAACACCAGAGAAGACGUAGAGUUUUCCUAGAAGUGAGAAUCGCUUCGACAGAUUUAUACAACCAUCGAUGUUAAUUUAAACACUCGUGACGUUCUAAAUCGCUGUCCGAUUCGGACAAUUUUUACCAACACACAACUGCCAAUAAGAUAACAUACAAGUACACACCGUCUUACAUCCCAAGGAAGAGUAGUUCUGUAAUAUUUCCAGAGAAGAGAAACAUAGUCCCAGAUGGAAUUUAAGCAACAAAUUACGAUAUGCACUCUGCAAAAAACAGCCUUUGGUUUGCUUUAAGAUGCUACGUUGUAGCAUCAGCGUCUUUGAGUCAAACGAAGCGAGUCAGACUCGAAGAACGCGCGACUGUGACACUUUCCUUUUUUCGCGUACAAUCGUCAGAUGCGUGUCAAGGGAUCCGUGGUAUCAGCAAGAUAGAGUUUCGCGGUGCAUUUGUCAGAGCGUAUAAGCAAAAGGAUUUGCCCUGCACAUUGCGCGAAAUUCUCUAUGCCGAUCUCCCGUUCAUAGUCUCCUUUUACAUCGACAAUUUUCUUUCUUCUCGUCUUUCUAUUGUAAUUAUCCAACGGUUUGUUUUAACAUCACCAACCCUUUGACAGCGUAGCUAACGCGACGAAGGAAUCAGAAUGAAGUAUUCGGAAUAUAAUUAAGUCCUUUUGGCCGCGUUUUCUUACGCGAUUUUGCAACGUGAACGAUACGUUGUUUGCUUCUUAAUGAAACGUAAAGCGCAACAAACACCACAGGGCUGUGUACAUAACGUCGUCGUAAAAUACGCUGCUUAAAGAAAUCUUUUUUAUUCCACGAUUCCUCGAAAUUUCAAACUUCCAAACGUAGUAAGAGGAUUAAGCGUGAACUCAAUAAUUCUCUUUAAUACAACGAAGAACGAAUUUCACAAAGGGAGCAAAUGAAAAUUGCAAACUUCAACUUAUAUAAAGCGGAAUCGCGAAGAAAUUUCCUACGAACGGAGGCAAGAAUUUUCAAAGCUCUUGUCUCGUAGCGACAAUAUGGAUAUUGCGAGCUACUGCGAUCGUACAAAGUUUCUCAAGAUGUCUUGACGUGGAAGAAAAAUCUAUCGAUUACACACUUGCGAAACUUGACGUUUUUCACGCAACUCAAUUUCGCCUUUACCGCGUUUACGACAGCUCUGUCUCUAUUUACGAUCUUAGUGCAUAUUACGAAGAAUAGUACGCAAGUAGAGAGCAAGUAAGUAGCUGUGCACGUAUGGGAUGCACGAUAGCGUUAAUUUCGGACAGUCUCGAGAAAUAGAAUUAUACAAAGAAAAAGAAAAAAAAAAGAAAAAAGAAAAAAUAAGGAGGUAGGUAAGGCGAGAAAUUUUUCAGAAAAUAUUCUGUAUUACGCGAGAAACUCCUAGGUAGUUUAUGCGUGAAACAAUAAUGAUUAUAAAUAUAGCAAUAUAGCAAUGAGUAAAAAUAUAGUAGACAAACAUUUUUCGAGGAUGCCUUCUGUCGAAGAGACUCCCUUUUUACAUAGUUAGACCAUAUACACCGCAUACGCUAUAUAAAUAUAUAAUUUCUACUUCUCUAGUUUAAUAUUAGGUUGUUCGAAAAGUUUCUGCCGUUUUAUGAGGAAAUAAUAGACGUUUUUUGUUUUAUAUUAUUUUGUCGAAUUACGAUCAAUUUUGUUCUGUUGAGAUAACGCGACAUUUCACUGACUUGGUUUCACGUUUGCGAAAGAAAGACACUUUUCAGACAAUCUAAUACUAUUUAGAAUUACUUAGUGUAUUUAAUAAUCAUCAUUAUUUUCCAUAAUUUUACGACGUCAACAAUAUCUAAUAUUUUUAAUACACUUACAGUUAUUUAAUCUACAGUCUGCUUUCUCGCAAAAUCAUCCCGUUCGUCAAAAGAAAGAAGGAAAUAAAAGACAGAGAUCCCGUAAAGAGUUAUGAUCAUUAAAGGUUAGGGUCGUAAAAACGGUAUUAUAUCUUUAGCAUUUCUUACACCGCAGGGGACUUUAAAGCCUAACGAGAGCUUCGAAGAAGAGGAAAGACACGAAAGCAAAGAGGUAGACGGCGAAAUUUAACGAAUGAAAACAGCAUCGAGUAUACGGGAUGUAUGAAUUAAAAAAAAAGGGGGGGGCGACGAGGGAAGAUGAAAGAAGAAUACGAAAGCUGGACGUGGAGAAAGAGUGGCUCGAAGCGAACUGAGGAAAAGGCAGGUUUCAUCGUUGAUAUUCGCAAUUCACGAGCUUAAUAUGCAGUGAAAACAGAGGACGUAACAGGGGAUAAUGUAUCCCGUGAAAAUGGAGCGGAAAAAAAAGAAAAAGAUAAAAAAACGACAAGGGACGAAAAUAGAAAAUUCAACGAAUGAAAUUACUCGACGAGGGGAAGCAUUAUCCUAGCGGGCAACCGAACGCUAAGAAGCAAGGUUUCCCUCGUGUUCCGGUUCGUGCGAGAUUAAUUCCCGGUUGUCGUCCUUUGUAAAUUUCAGCCAAGAAUUUCGUCGUGUGCCAUGGUCGUGCGUGGCUUAUAUUAUCUCGUUCCCGUACACUCUGCCUCGUUAUACAAUUCCCCAAGGAUUUCGCGCAGCGAUUGCAAGGUGGGCAAGGGGCUGGGCAAAUAAAGAAAAAAGCAGCGACAAUCGCGGCGGUAGAUUCCUCAAAGGAAGGAAAUUGUGUAUCGCAAAUAAAAGAAUAGGCCGGCUCUGCUGCGAGGUAAACGUGGAAAUGAAUCUCAGGGAGUUAUUCAUUCAUUAGAAGGACGAGGGAAAGAAAAGAGGAAAACACGAGUACACACACACAAUAGAAUUAUCUAGCCGGAGGCGGAUGCACUGAUACUCUAGUUUACAAUUGAUGAGGAUUUACGCUCGCAGAACGACAAAUGACCGGAACGAACGAGCGAAUUGUUUCACGUGUCAUGGACAUUACGUGCAAAGGUAUACUCGCAUCGCACAGGAGCGAUAUUGAAAUUUUCUCGAUGUUAACGAUUUCAAGUAACAGAGAAAUGAACGAAAUAUAGGUAAAAAAAGAUCGAGUAGAAAGCAGAGUUAAAGCGAAAACACAGUUGCUACGUAGAUCCUAUUAAUGGAGCAACAUCUGCCUCGAAAAAAUAGUUUUAUCUACGUUUCGCGUUCCUCGGUUCAGCGCGACCACAAGUGGACCAACGCGAAAGCUGCUUUAAUCCCGGUCAGAUUCAAAUAUCCAUGUUCGGAAAAUUCCAUUCGAAUCUUAACACCCGGUCCAUUAUCGUGGUCCAUUGCGGGCGAGCGAAAAAAGGAAGAGGUGGAGCCCGUUGUUCGACUUUGAAAUCCUCGGGAUAUUCCCUGGUGUGAGGCGAGGGGAAGGGUGGAAAAAGGACGGGCGUCAAAGUGUGGGCGAGGGAACGAAAAGGGAAGGAAGAGAGAGAAUGGUAUUCCGUUGGCGCAAAGGUACAAUACGUUGUGCAAGAUAGUCAGGUCGUCUUUGGCGACGGACGGCGUCCUAAGGGAUAAGCCGAGAGUGGCUGGUACCGCUAACCACGUUCGAUAAGCGGUCAGGUCAGAUUCUACGAAUCCUCGCGUUCCCCUUCGCCACUAUCUUCCGGUAUAGUCGCGGGCAACUGUGGCACAGCAUGCUCGUCGUCGAACUUUCCGAAACUGAACAGAGCGCAAUGGAAGGAACAGAGUGCCUUCGACAAGCCCUCGUUUUCCUCCCCGCUCCAGAAGAACUUGAUUGCUUCGCUGCCCUGUCGACCUUUACCUAUAGAAAUGUUUUGUCUGUUCCCGUAGGAAUGUAAGUACCCGGUACGUUGUUAUCGGUACACGUUCAUUCGAACGUGCACUCGUCCGUACGUACGUAUUCCAUGCAUGUUAAGAAUGUACACGAUACGCACAAACGCGCACAGUGAAGACGUACAUCUCCGUUCGUGAGUAUUAGCUGAUAGUAUUUUUCGCAGACGUAUCAUCGGUCUGCUGCACGUCCGUAUGGUAAAUUUUCAAAUUUACUUUUCACGCAGACCAAGCACCGCGUGAAAAAUUCUAUUCUACGUUUUUGACCUAUUUUCACACGCAGAGCAAAAUCCUAGCGAUUAUUUCCUUCUAUUCGGUCAGACGGAAUUAGCCACGUUGAAUCGUAUUUGAUAAAUGCUGAAACCCGAUUUUCUCGGAAACUAAGCCUUUUUCUUGUUUCUUUCACGAGGUAUCGCUUUCAACCUGCUUGGCGCGUUAUUCGGCCACAUCCUAUGUAGACCUGAAAAAGCGUCGAGAACCUAUUCAAAUUUUUACGAUUAUUAUCUCGUUUGGAACUACGGAUUACGAGGAAUCCGUAUAUUCUGCGCUAUAAUCAGCGUCUCAUAAAUGUCUACCUUCUGUCGAUCACUGUUUUAACUAAUUUUACAUCGUCGGUAGAUGUUUACGCAAUAUUAUAUCCUUAUGAAUGAAAUUAAGGAAAUGAAAUAUGCAUAAAAAUUUGUUUCAUCUCUUAGGUGUUACGAUAACUUUGGAUAUUUUACAUAUACUUACGUAUCACGUGCAUCAUAUACAUACACAUGAUUCUCGAUUUAUUAUUCUAAUUUUCAUUUGUGAUAUUGAUUUGUAAAGUUGAAAAAUAAUCAUAUUUUUUUUACAAUAUAUAUUUUAUCAAUUACCGAUUAUUCUAAUUCCGAUCAUUUAAUCGUCCCUUCGACAGUUACGAUCAAUUAUUACAUUUUGUACGAUACCAACCGGCUGAUAUUAAUGAACGGCAGUGUAAGUACGUGGCCGUACACAACCGCACACAACCGUACGUCACAACACGAGACGUCGUCCUGGACAAAUGGGAUUCGUGCCGUGCCAUUGACUGCGCUCGACGUACGGACAGAUUAGCGUUAAUGUGUUUUGUUGACUCCCAGGUCCUGAUUCGAGUUGGAUGUAUCGGGAUAUCGAGCAUCUCCGUGUUGUACGCCCCUAGAUGCGAGUAUCCACGAGAUUUUCGCUAGUGGACCAAGUCGAGACAUCGUCCGUGAAAUUAGACGAGCGGAGAACUGGCCGCGGAUCCCGCUACCUUCGGAAUUUCGCUAUUGCACAGUCCCGUUAGCUCGAGAGACUCGUAAUCUAAACGAGAAGAAAAGCGGAAUUGCACGAGCAAAGAUCUUACCGUGGAUAUUUCGGCCCUCUAAUUUUAUCUUUAACGUGCGUGUUGUUAUUUGCCAGAUUGGUUUUGUUCGAUUAUUAGACGUUUAGCGUUAGUUUCAGUAUUGGUUUUAGUGGUAAGAUUGAACAUGCCCGCUCGUUACAUAAAUCACAUGCCACGGGGGAAGCCGUGCUCGCGCGUAUCUGUAGUUUCCGCGAGAGGCUUAACAAUGGGUAUAUAGUUUCGGCUGGUUAGAGAAUCGUCGUAGCUCGAGUGAAAAGCGAGUGCUAUACUCUGUACUCAAGAUUAUGGCUUCGUUCGUGUUCAGAAUUCAACUCGAGUCUUCUUGUCCCGUUCCUAAGAAUAAAAUCGAUUUUUCUGUUUCAUACCGAAGGAGUUGUAGCGACACUCGACAAGAAAAAUUUCCAACGUUUUCGUUGGUACAAAAUAUAUCACCGAAGCGUAAGGCCGACAGGCCUAACGAGCCAUCCAUAUCCCUACGGUCCUUCCGCCGAAUAUUUCGUACGUGGCAACGAACGCGCGCGUAGUGCGAAUAUUGAGAGGCGACAAAAAGAAACGAAUCGUAUCGAGAAAACAGUGGAGUUGCGAGAAUGGUCAGUUGAAAUCGAGAGUCGUACGUAAAGAGUCGAAAGUUGGAAUUAAGAUUAAUAAUCCGUGGAAGACACGAUGUUUGUGUUGAAAUAAUAUUAUGUGAUAUUUAUUAAACAAUUAUUACAGGAAAUACAAGCGAGUGUUGUGCAAUGUAGACAGUUGGCUAGUUAUUCUCAGACUGACUGACUCAGUGACCCAUGGGCCUUGAAAAGAUUUUGAACCCCCACUCUCUAUGCAGUAACGAGUGUGACCCGAGUAGAUUCUGUGUGGCGUCACAUGUGCCAUUCCUGGAACCUUCCAGUAGCUUCUCGAUACAAAGCGCUACGCCGUCAAGGCGCCACACCGACGUGCCCAAUGUUCCAUUCAUAUCCUUACGCUUCUUCCGCCGAAUUCUCGAAAGAGCAUGCACACGCUAGCCGCCGCGGUACAUCUAACGAACGUACGCUAUCAUUGGGAUAUCGCUGGUCAACGAAGGGAAGAAUCCGUUCGAUCAAUCACCUCACCUCGUUAAUAUCGUUGUAUUCCAACAAUUGUUAAUAAAUUUCUUUGGCACCCUACAUAUCCUACACCAGAAUCACGUCAGAGUUUCUAUUAAAACCCAACCGAUUUACCUAGAUAUAACGUUAGAAACCAUCGGUUGCGUCAUACGUUUCUAUAUUUUUCACAUUUCCAGUCAUAUCGGCUAUAGUUGACUAGCUUAUUUUUUUUAUCGAAUCUCGCCACUAGACCGAACCUGCUGGAUCGAGAGACUGUUAUCUAAGCGAGAAGAAAAAGGAAAUUAGGCGAGCGGGGAUCUCGUCGCGAAUCCUCUGACCUUCGAAUUUCGCUACUGGACCAUCGGGAUAGGUGGAGACACUGUUAUCUAAGCGAGAAGAAAAGCCAUAUCCGUUAUCCGGUGGAUGCAUCGCGCGACCCGGUACACGUGUUUCUCUCCCCUUAGCUCACGUUGAACGAUAGCAGAUCCCGAAGGGUCGUCGAGUUUAAUUGUGCCCAAUGCUGCAAGCGCAACGUUUCUAUUCCCAUUGGCUAUCGGCGGAGCCCGGAUUAGAGGGUUAUCGUAUAUUUGCUAUUUCAGUAUUUUUGCCCUGCGACCGGCAGCACCGCUGAAUGAAAUUGAAAGGGACGUACGGGAUAAUGGUUUCCGCCGAGCUCGAUAGACGGACGAUUUUCUGCCCCUCUGAUAUUGAAUUCUUUCUCGGCAGAACGAAUCGAAACAGUCUUAUAGUUAGGACGUUCUUGAACAAUAAUUUCCCGGCUAACGAUAUUAAGGAAUUGACAAGCGACAAGUCGAAAGUUGUAGAUUUUCCUUCGCAAGUUUAAGCUGGUCGCGGUCCUCCGAUCUUUGUAUUUCAAGCUUAGAAAUUAAGAAAUAUUUCGGAAAUUGAAAGAAAAGCAUUACUCUUAAAAGUAGAAUUAACACGAACGCACGUACAAAUUGGUUAGAGACGACGUGUUUACUCAAAUUCAUGUUACAGAUGUACGUCAAAUCUUCUUUUUGUAUAUAUAUUCUUGAAAUAUUUUCGAUAAAUCAUAGUUAAUAACGAAAUAUCAAAAUAAUCAUUCGAAAGCCGCGUAUCUAUAAAUAUUCAUUUGAUCCGAUCUCUCUCAUCAAUGGGAAUUCAUCGGAAAGAAUCAUAAUAGAGAAAUAAAUAAUAAAUAAUCUUUCCGUAUAAAUAAUACAUAAAAUUCUACCUCGAAGAGAAGUGUCUUUCUUUUACAGACGCGUCUUUUACAGCGACGCAUCUUUAUACAAACACGAAACCUAAUCCUUCGAACGUUGUGAUCUUCAUCUUGAUAGAACAAAGUCGAUCAUACGUAAUUCGAUAAAAUAAUAUAAAACGGAAAAUGUGGUGCAUCCAUUAUUUCCUUAUAAAACGAAAGAAACCUUUCGGAACACCUAAUACUUUGGAACGCGACCGGAAGGCUGAUUGAAACAAAAGGUAGAAUGCUAAAUAAUAGGAGAUUAUUUCUUUUUAAACGCGGUUUAAAAGGUAAAGAAAGAUCGGAAGCUUUUGCCUCGCUCUUGCUUCCUAAAUUGCAGAAUAUAUGUUUAAACUCGGUUGUUGGAGCGUUCGCGCGGUUACAGAAAGAAACAGCAAGGAGAAUUUUUCUUUCUAAAAAGUAACGCGUGUAACGGUUGCGGUGGCGUGGCACGCGGAACGUAACUGCAACGCUGUGCAGUAUUCUUCUAUCGAGGCGAGGUGUGGCCGGAUUUUUUAACGUUUCCCAGCCGGAAGGAAAUUUAAAAGAAUUAUAUCGCGCAAAAAGGCAUCGAUACUUUAGCUGUUACCACGUGAAAUGGAUUCCUCGAGGAGAACUCUCGUCCAAACGAUAGGCGUUAUGAACUUUACCUAGUAGCAGUAUCAACGGCAUCGCGUUCCAGUUCUGAUAUUACGAACACUGAAACACAAGUUCCUUGGGUCAUGUCGUGGUAUCGUAUUGGAUUACGAUGCUAACACGCGUUGACCGUGACGAUUUCAAUGUACUCGAGAAAUCAUCUCGAUCGGUGAUGCAAUGAAAGCUGAACGAUGUCCAUAUUGGAAUAUUUGUAUAACGCUGGAUUUAAUCCUUCGCUCUACGGACGUGUAUUUGCGUCAAGCAAAAUCCAUUUUCAUUACCCGUGAAUAUGUAUUUCCCGUAAAGAUAAUUACGAUUUAUUCUUAGGUACUUUCGUUAAUCUGACAAAAUGAUAUCACGAGUAAAAAAUGAGUUGUUAUUAAAUCGACAACAAAGUGCGAUAUUAACAAUUACCAAAAUGCUUCUUUUCGAUAAAAAGUCAUGGUUAUCUUCAGUAGCUUUAUUUUUAUCUUAUUUCCUCGGUUUCAGCGUAUGAUAUUUAGUUCCCUUAUUCUACUCAAUUUUCCUAGAAGAAAACUUUAAUCCGAUAUCGCUGAACUUGUUCCAAUUUCGACCAACGUACCUCGUAUUUCGUUUCGACGACAUAAUAACAGCUCGAAAAAAAAAAAAAAAAAGAUUGAGAAAGAUUCGUGUAAAAAAGUGAAAGUAAUUUCGAUUGUUUAUCGAAAGGAAAAUCUUUGGUCAUUUUUAACGCUGAACUGUCUUAUUCGCUUAUAUGCGUGUAACAAAGUUUAUAAUCAAAAAAUUGAAUAUCUCUUUCACUUAAGUAGAUUUAUGUCGCGAUUGGUGUCUCCUGCUCUUGGUAAUUUGUACAUCAUUUGUCCACGAUCUUUAUAGAAACAGAAGAAAUAUAUUCCGACUAUGAACGUGUCUGGCCAAUUUGAGUAUAUCGCUGUUUAACAUAAAAAUAGUCUGAUCCCGAAGGGUUGGAAUUUCCAACAUUAACAUUCACUUAGAACUGUAUGAAAUUUCAAAUUAGUUAUGACGUGAUACGAUGAAAGAUGAACAUAGGUCUGGCGAUUCGACUAGUUGCGGCCGAAAUUUCCAUUCCAUCGUGCAGCAAACUUCUGAGAAUUUGAGAACGUCGACUCGAAUAAGCAUUAUCGAGGUGCUUGACGGCGAACUGCUGUGGCUAAUGCACUACAAGCGAUAUGUCCAGCAUAUCCCGUGUACAUUACGCAUUACUGUUCGAAAUUUAAGGUAACCGAAGUUCUCGGCUCAAUUGCUUCAACGAGUUGCUUACGAUGCUUAUUAUUUACGGUGUUUGUUAACACCGCUGACUGUAGUUACUUUUGUCGACAGCGUUCCUCUGUAAGCGACUUACAAACGAAGAGAGUUUCUAAUUAAUUAAAGAAUUAACAUGACAAAAGCUUUGUGUUUCAAAAUGUACAGCGUGUCCGGAAAGGCCGGCACAAAGCUUGUACUAUGUGUCAAUGAGGUCAAGUAGAUAAAAAAGGUUGGUACGAACCUGUGUUCGAAAAUACUUUAUCGAAGUUAUAAGAGUUCAGAAAGUUUUGUUAAUUGUUUUGUCAGUUUGUCAAACAAAUUGUCAAUAAAAACAUUUUGUCAAACAAAUGUUCAAAAUUUCUUCUUUUUGCAAAAAUGCAGCUUUCCAUUCGUCGGACUCUUUCGAAUAUGGUUGCUGUUGUAGCGGUAAGUGGAUACAUUCUCAAAGCUGGUCUUUCGUUCCCGUCGCUUUUUCAUAAACCAAGAACAACUUUUCUGAAAAUCUUCUCGCACACUUACAACUUAUAACUUGUUGACAAAUCGUUUUCCAACAUAAGUUUAUUCGAAUUUUUCUUACUUACUUGACCUGGUCGACGCGUAAUACAAGAUUUGUCCCGACCUUUUCGGACAUCCGGUAUAUACAAUGCCGAAAGUAUUUUAAUACUUAUGGAAAAUUUUAAUGAAUAUAUUACGUACACGAAAAUUCGAUUGGCGCGUAAACGACACAGGUUGGCUACGAAGAGUUAAAGUAUUUAUAAACUCGAUGAUAUUUCCAAUAAAUUAUUCAUUAGGUUUUAAAUGCAAAUUGUAUUACAUUGGGUUGUCGUGGAUGAACCGAUCAUGUAGUACUGUAAUGAAAAAAAAAAAAAAAAAAAAAAAGGAAGAAAAGAAGAAAAAGAA